CCUACGGGUGGCAGCAGUCGAGAAUCAUUCACAAUGGGGGAAACCCUGAUGGUGCGACGCCGCGUGGGGGAAUGAAGGUCUUCGGAUUGUAAACCCCUGUCAUGUGGGAGCAAAUUAAAAAGAUAGUACCACAAGAGGAAGAGACGGCUAACUCUGUGCCAGCAGCCGCGGUAAUACAGAGGUCUCAAGCGUUGUUCGGAAUCACUGGGCGUAAAGCGUGCGUAGGCUGUUUCGUAAGUCGGGUGUGAAAGGCGCGGGCUCAACCCGCGGACGGCACAUGAUACUGCGAGACUAGAGUAAGGGAGGGGGAACCGGAAUUCUCGGUGUAGCAGUGAAAUGCGUAGAUAUCGAGAGGAACACUCGUGGCGAAGGCGGGUUCCUGGACAUUAACUGACGCUGAGGCACGAAGGCCAGGGGAGCGAAAGGGAUUAGAUACCCUAGUAGUC
RNAcentral lists this ribosomal RNA (446 nucleotides) under uncultured bacterium. Its description in RNAcentral is "partial 16S ribosomal RNA". It matches the Rfam family "Bacterial small subunit ribosomal RNA", at positions 338 to 795 of the family's 1533-position model. The record is from RNAcentral.